Molecule: ribosomal RNA, 1271 nt
Filed under: metagenome
Description: bacterial LSU rRNA
Rfam family: Bacterial large subunit ribosomal RNA
Source: RNAcentral
AUGCCUGUACCAUAACCGACACAGGUGGGUAAGUAGAGUAUACUAAGGGGCGCGAGAUAACUCUCUCUAAGGAACUCGGCAAAAUAACUCCGUAACUUCGGGAGAAGGAGUGCCUUAUUCUUAAGGUUGCAAUAACAAGAUCCAAGCAACUGUUUAUCAAAAACACAGGUCUCCGCUAAGUCGUAAGACGAUGUAUGGGGGCUGACGCCUGCCCAGUGCCAGAAGGUUAAAGAAGUCGGUUAGCAAUAGCAAAGCUGGUAACUGAAGCCCUGGUGAACGGCGGCCGUAACGAUAACGGUCCUAAGGUAGCGAAAUUCCUUGUCGGGUAAGUUCCGACCCGCACGAAAGGCGUAAUGAUUUGGAUGCUGUCUCGGAGAGGGGCUCGGUGAAAUAGACUUGUCUGUGAAGAUGCGGACUACCUGCACCAGGACAGAAAGACCCUAUGAAGCUUUACUGUAACUUGAAAUUGAAAUUGGACUUUAUUCGCGCAGUAUAGGUGGGAGGCGUUGAUUAUAAUCUUGUGGUAUUAUUGGAGCCAUCAGUGAGAUACCACUCUUGUAAUGUUAGAUUUCUAACUUUGAAUCAUUAUCUGGUCAAAGGACAGUUUCAGGCGGGCAGUUUGACUGGGGCGGUCGCCUCCUAAACGGUAACGGAGGCGUACAAAGGUUUCCUCUGAACGGUUAGAAAUCGUAUCUAGAGUGUAAAGGCAUAAGGAAGCUUGACUGUGAGACCUACAAGUCGAGCAGGGACGAAAGUCGGUCUUAGUGAUCUGACGGUACUGAGUGGAAAGGCCGUCACUCAACGGAUAAAAGUUACUCUAGGAUAACAGGCUGAUCUCCCCCAAGAGUUCACAUCGACGGGGAGGUUUGGCACCUCGAUGUCGGCUCAUCGCAUCCUGGGGCGGUAGUACGUCCCAAGGGUUGGGCUGUUCGCCCAUGAAAGCGGUACGCGAGCUGGGUUCAGAACGUCGUGAGACAGUUCGGUCCAUAUCCGGUGUAGGCGCUAGAAUAUUGAGAGGAGCCUUCUUUAGUACGAGAGGACCGAGAAGGACAUACCUCUGGUGUACCAGUUAUCGUGCCAACGGUAAACGCUGGGUAGCUAUGUAUGGAGUGGAUAACCGCUGAAAGCAUCUAAGUGGGAAGCCCACCUCAAGAUAAGUAUUCUCAUCACGUAAGUGAGUAAGGUCACGGUAAGACUAACCGUUUGAUAGGCAUUAAGUGUAAGUACAGUAAUGUAUGUGCUGAGAUGUCCUAAUAGACCGAGGACUUGAA